AGUGAACGCUGGCGGUAGGCCUAACACAUGCAAGUCGAACGGCAGCACAGUAAGGGCUUGCUCUUACGGGUGGCGAGUGGCGGACGGGUGAGGAAUACAUCGGAAUCUACUUUUUCGUGGGGGAUAACGUAGGGAAACUUACGCUAAUACCGCAUACGACCUACGGGUGAAAGCAGGGGAUCUUCGGACCUUGCGCGAUUGAAUGAGCCGAUGUCGGAUUAGCUAGUUGGCGGGGUAAAGGCCCACCAAGGCGACGAUCCGUAGCUGGUCUGAGAGGAUGAUCAGCCACACGGGAAGUGAGACACGGUCCAGACUCCUACGGGAGGCAGCAGUGGGGAAUAUUGGACAAUGGGCGCAAGCCUGAUCCAGCCAUACCGCGUGGGUGAAGAAGGCCUUCGGGUUGUAAAGCCCUUUUGUUGGGAAAGAAAAGCAGCAGGUUAAUACCCCGCUGUUCUGACGGUACCCAAAGAAUAAGCACCGACUAACUUCGUG
RNAcentral lists this ribosomal RNA (492 nucleotides) under uncultured bacterium. RNAcentral describes it as "partial 16S ribosomal RNA". It matches the Rfam family "Bacterial small subunit ribosomal RNA", at positions 29 to 507 of the family's 1533-position model. The record is from RNAcentral.